RNAcentral lists this ribosomal RNA (253 nucleotides) under uncultured bacterium. RNAcentral describes it as "partial 16S ribosomal RNA". It matches the Rfam family "Bacterial small subunit ribosomal RNA", at positions 524 to 776 of the family's 1533-position model. The record is from RNAcentral.
UACGGAGGGAGCUAGCGUUGUUCGGAAUUACUGGGCGUAAAGCGCACGUAGGCGGCUUUUUAAGUCAGGGGUGAGAUCCCGGGGCUCAACCCCGGAACUGCCUUUGAAACUGGGAAGCUAGAAUCUUGGAGAGGCGAGUGGAAUUCCGAGUGUAGAGGUGAAAUUCGUAGAUAUUCGGAAGAACACCAGUGGCGAAGGCGACUCGCUGGACAAGUAUUGACGCUGAGGUGCGAAAGCGUGGGGAGCAAACAGG